UAAGAUGGGGACUAUGUCGUAUUCAC
This 26-nucleotide non-coding RNA is filed under the name Mus musculus (house mouse). Lineage: Eukaryota; Metazoa; Chordata; Mammalia; Rodentia; Muridae. The record is from RNAcentral.